Molecule: ribosomal RNA, 297 nt
Filed under: uncultured bacterium
Lineage: Bacteria
Description: partial 16S ribosomal RNA
Rfam family: Bacterial small subunit ribosomal RNA
Source: RNAcentral
CGUUCCUACGGGACGCAGCAGUAAGGGAUAUUGGUCAAUGGGGGAAACCCUGAUGCAGCAACGCCGCGUGAGUGAUGACGGCCUUCGGGUUGUAAAGCUCUGUCUUCAGGGACGAUAAUGACGGUACCUGAGGAGGAAGCCACGGCUAACUACGUGCCAGCAGCCGCGGUAAUACGUAGGUGGCGAGCGUUGUCCGGAUUUACUGGGCGUAAAGGGAGCGUAGGCGGACUUUUAAGUGAGAUGUGAAAUACUCGGGCUCAACUUGAGUGCUGCAUUUCAAAUUGGAAGUCUAGUGUG